CGGAGAGGUGGCUGAGCGGUCGAAAGCAGCUGACUCCUAAUCAGCAGGGGAUAACCCCCGCACGGGUUCGAAUCCCGUCCUCUCAG
Molecule: transfer RNA, 86 nt
Filed under: Chloroflexota bacterium
Lineage: Bacteria; Bacillati; Chloroflexota
Description: tRNA-Arg
Rfam family: tRNA
About the family: Transfer RNA (tRNA) molecules are approximately 80 nucleotides in length. Their secondary structure includes four short double-helical elements and three loops (D, anti-codon, and T loops).
Source: RNAcentral